Molecule: long non-coding RNA, 580 nt
Filed under: Brassica napus (rape)
Lineage: Eukaryota; Viridiplantae; Streptophyta; Magnoliopsida; Brassicales; Brassicaceae
Description: long non-coding RNA (BNAP_LNC007370)
Source: RNAcentral
GGUGGAGAUUGUGAAGAAGUGUGUCAUCUGAUCUAUCCACAAAGCUGAAGUAUCAUGAAGACUCUUAUUCAAAGAGAGGGUUUACUAAGCUUUAUAUUGUCUCGUGAAAAGCACGUGAGCUGAGUUUAUGGAUUAAACUCAAGCGAGGUCAAAAGCGUCUUUAGCUUCAUCAUCGUCAUCUUCGACGGAUCCGUAACAGAACGGAGAGAGCGAAAGCUCGAGACUGGGGUGAGAGAGAGAUUGGGUUGGUGAGAGAUAGAGCUAGAGAGAGAGAAGGUUCUCAGUGUAUCUAAGCUCGUUAUCUUGUUCUCCUUCCUCUAUUUUUCUUGUAUCUUGAGUUGAGUUGUAACCAAGAGAGACGAAGGAAGUGAGCGUGGCCUUUGGUGAACUCUGUAAUCAUGUUGAUUAUAGUGGAUUGAGAAACAUGAUUCUCUCCCCGGUGAUGUAUAGCGGCUUCUCCACAUUGGAGAAGUGCGGUAAACACCGUGUAAACAAAUCUCUUGUGUUCUUUGUGUUUGCUUGAUUCAAUCUUGAUUAGACUUGCUAGGGUUGUGAUGCGUACUGAUUUGAGUUAGAAUCA